RNAcentral lists this ribosomal RNA (970 nucleotides) under uncultured marine bacterium. RNAcentral's name for it is "bacterial SSU rRNA". It matches the Rfam family "Bacterial small subunit ribosomal RNA", at positions 56 to 1070 of the family's 1533-position model. The record is from RNAcentral.
UGCAAGUCGAACGAAGUAGCAAUACUUAGUGGCAGACGGGUGAGUAACAUGUAGGUAUCUACCCUUUGGCCUGGAAUAACACGAGGAAACUUGUGCUAAUACUGGAUAAGUCUUUACGGAGAAAGCUUUAUGCACCAUUGGAUGAGCCUGCACUUGAUUAGUUUGUUGGUGGGGUAAUGGCCUACCAAGACUGUGAUCAAUAGCUGAUUUGAGAGGAUGAUCAGCCACAUUGGGACUGAGACACGGCCCAAACUCCUACGGGAGGCAGCAGUGGGGAAUCUUGCACAAUGGAGGAAACUCUGAUGCGGCGAUGCCGCGUGAGUGAAGAAGGCCCUUGGGUUGUAAAGCUCUUUCGUCGGGGAAGAAAAUGACUGUACCCGAAUAAGAAGGUCCGGCUAACUUCGUGCCAGCAGCCGCGGUAAUACGAAGGGACCUAGCGUAGUUCGGAAUUACUGGGCUUAAAGAGUUCGUAGGUGGUUGAAAAAGUUGGUGGUGAAAUCCCAGAGCUUAACUCUGGAACUGCCAUCAAAACUUUUCAGCUAGAGUAUGAUAGAGGAAAGCAGAAUUUCUAGUGUAGAGGUGAAAUUCGUAGAUAUUAGAAAGAAUACCAAUUGCGAAGGCAGCUUUCUGGAUCAUUACUGACACUGAGGAACGAAAGCAUGGGUAGCGAAGAGGAUUAGAUACCCUCGUAGUCCAUGCCGUAAACGAUGUGUGUUAGACGUUGGAAAUUAAUUUUCAGUGUCGCAGCGAAAGCAAUAAACACACCGCCUGGGGAGUACGACCGCAAGGUUAAAACUCAAAUGAAUUGACGGGGACCCGCACAAGUAGUGGAGCAUGUGGUUUAAUUCGAAGAUACGCGCAGAACCUUACCAACACUUGACAUGUUCGUCGCGACUUUAAGAGAUUAAAGUUUUCGGUUCGGCCGGACGAAACACAGGUGCUGCAUGGCUGUCGUCAGCUCGUGUCGUGA